UAAUCCCUGCGAUGUUUGUUAAGACUUAUAUUCUUUGAACCAAUUGUUAAAAAAUGGCUGUAGAUUUAAGUGAUACUGUUGUGCGCGCCUUUUUAGGAUGUGCCUGAUGUAUCCAUGAAACAGCCGCCUUGGACCUUAUGGUUCAAGAUGAUGGUCUGACGGCAUAUGUGGGGAGCUC
Molecule: non-coding RNA, 178 nt
Filed under: Gammaproteobacteria bacterium
Lineage: Bacteria; Pseudomonadati; Pseudomonadota; Gammaproteobacteria
Also listed under: 1 other name
Description: 6S RNA
Rfam family: 6S / SsrS RNA
About the family: E. coli 6S RNA was the first non coding RNA to be sequenced, but its function was unknown until recently.
Source: RNAcentral